UCUGCCUUAUCGGCAAGCGGUCCCAUUAGAGUGCCCAACUGAAUGCUGGCAACUAAUGGCAAGGGUUGCGCUCGUUGCGGGACUUAACCCAACAUCUCACGGCACGAGCUGACGACAGCCAUGCAGCACCUGUCACCGCGUCCCCGAAGGGAACCCCUGGUUUCCCAGGGUAGCGCGGGAUGUCAAGCCUAGGUAAGGUUUUUCGCGUUGCCUCGAAUUAAACCACAUACUCCACCGCUUGUGCGGGCCCCCGUCAAUUUCUUUGAGUUUUAAUCUUGCGACCGUACUCCCCAGGCGGGGCACUUACUGCGUUAGCUGCGACGCUGAAGGGACAAGGUCCCCCAACAUCUAGUGCCCACCGUUUACGGCGUGGACUAC
RNAcentral lists this unclassified non-coding RNA (378 nucleotides) under uncultured delta proteobacterium. RNAcentral describes it as "contains 16S-23S intergenic spacer region". The record is from RNAcentral. Lineage: Bacteria; Deltaproteobacteria.